AUCGAAGCAGUGAACUUAAGCCCCAGUAAACGGCGGCCGUAACUAUAACGGUCCUAAGGUAGCGAAAUUCCUUGUCGGGUAAGUUCCGACCCGCACGAAAGGCGUAACGAUUUGGGCACUGUCGCAACAACAGACUCGGUGAAAUUGUAAUUCCGGUGAAGAUGCCGGAUACCUGCGACAGGACGGAAAGACCCCAUGGAGCUUUACUGUAGCUUGACAUUGGGUCUUGGGACUACAUGUACAGGAUAGG
This 250-nucleotide ribosomal RNA is filed under the name Clostridioides difficile. RNAcentral's name for it is "partial 23S ribosomal RNA". It matches the Rfam family "Bacterial large subunit ribosomal RNA", at positions 1898 to 2147 of the family's 2925-position model. Lineage: Bacteria; Bacillati; Bacillota; Clostridia; Peptostreptococcales; Peptostreptococcaceae. The record is from RNAcentral.